AGAAUCAACGCUGGCGGCGUGCCUAACACAUGCAAGUCGCACGAGAAAGGGACUUCGGUCCUGAGUACAGUGGCGCACGGGUGAGUAACACGUGAAUCAUCUACCUCCGAGUGGGGAAUAACUGAGAGAAAUCUUAGCUAAUACCGCAUAAUACCUACGGGUCAAAGCAGCAAUGCGCUUGAAGAGGAGUUCGCGGCAGAUUAGUUAGUUGGCGGGGUAAUGGCCCACCAAGACGAUGAUCUGUA
RNAcentral lists this ribosomal RNA (245 nucleotides) under uncultured bacterium. Its description in RNAcentral is "partial small subunit ribosomal RNA". It matches the Rfam family "Bacterial small subunit ribosomal RNA", at positions 26 to 285 of the family's 1533-position model. The record is from RNAcentral.